RNA transcript from Drosophila yakuba, 1803 nucleotides. It is a transcript of the gene named cholesterol 7-desaturase nvd, with no coding region annotated. The transcript has 8 exons. The record is from RefSeq and is a predicted model, not a curated record. NCBI's taxonomy places the organism in Eukaryota, Metazoa, Arthropoda, Insecta, Diptera, Drosophilidae.
GUAUAGUCGAGUGAAAAGGUUGUCAAGAGCGAUUGUUACUAAACCUAAAUAAUUAAUUUCGUCUUAAGUCUAUAUAAUUAACUGUGAAAUCUGGAAGAACAUAAAUAAUUUUUUACACAUUUAAGCUAUAUAACUCGUUUAAUAAAAACCAUAUAAACUAAGAACUACAAAUUGGCGGCUCGUCCGGAAUGUACUUAAGUGUAAAGACAAAAUUUUGACGCAGUUCGUUUUAGUUACCAGUGAUCGGUCAAAUUGAACCGUUGGAUGACCGACGCACAAUGGCGCAAAAGAUACAGAUACUAUACAAAAAUCAAAUUUUUGAUGACAACGGAUCGUUGCAGAGGAUAUCGCAUUCGACUGGCAAUAGUUAAAUGGGUUGAAUCCAUGAAAAUGAUUAAAAUCGGUUCAGUAUUUUAAAAGUUACACGUGCUCGAAGUUGAACAUUUUUUGGGUUGCAAAAGAAGGUGUUUUUUUAUGAAAAAUUGGGACUUUGCGGUCGAUUUUUAGAUAAAAUAUGUAACCGACCGGCUUGGUUAUGGUCUCUAUGGAAAUGGUUAUCAAAUCUCUGUAAAAGGUGGUCUCCAUUUGUUGGAAAAUUAAAAUACUUAGCGGAAGUUAACCUAAGUCAUUCAUUGCAACUGUUUGGAAAGUUUUGCUGUUUUCGUAUGGAAAUUUCUGGCAAACAGAUUGGACCGUCUUGUGUGUGUCUUGAAGUUAAUUCAAAUACAUUUGGAAAGAUUAAAGUUUUUCAAUAUAUUACACCAAUCGAGCCUUUGUUGCAAAAAGUUGUUCAUCAGUUCUAUGGUCCUCGUUGGAGUGCACCACUUAUGAACAUUUUUGUUUAUGGAGAAAGUGUCAUGUUCGAACGUGAUAUUAACAUAUGGAAUCAUAAAGUACUUCAUCGGAAUCCUAUCUUAGCUAAGGAAGAUACAUCGAUAAAGAAGUUUAGGCUGUGGUUCUCCCAAUUCUAUUCGUCGAACAGCAAAUCAUAUUCUGAAGCAACCAACUUUGGAACGAUGGCUAAUUAUCCUAUUCUUCUUUUUUAAAUGCCAGCUAAAACAAAGUAACAUCCAAAACGGUGGCCAAGUAAUUGCAGAAUCAGAUAGCGGCUGAAGCGUACCGCGUACAUACUACAGUACAUACUACUAUCGUCGCGCGAACAGAGUUGCGUUAAACGGCUACUCCAUCACAUAAAAAAGGGAUAAACUAACUUGUGGUGGUCUCCAUUUGUUGGAAAAUUAAAAUACUUAGCGGAAGUUAACCUAAGUCAUUCAUUGCAACUGUUUGGAAAGUUUUGCUGUUUUCGUAUGGAAAUUUCUGGCAAACAGAUUGGACCGUCUUGUGUGUGUCUUGAAGUUAAUUCAAAUACAUUUGGAAAGAUUAAAGUUUUUCAAUAUAUUACACCAAUCGAGCCUUUGUUGCAAAAAGUUGUUCAUCAGUUCUAUGGUCCUCGUUGGAGUGCACCACUUAUGAAAAUUUUUGUUUAUGGAGAAAGUGUCAUGUUCGAACGUGAUAUUAACAUAUGGAAUCAUAAAGUACUUCAUCGGAAUCCUAUCUUAGCUAAGGAAGAUACAUCGAUAAAGAAGUUUAGGCUGUGGUUCUCCCAAUUCUAUUCGUCGAACAGCAAAUCAUAUUCUGAAGCAACCAAUAUUGGUUGGUAGCUAAAUUUGUACUGAAAUUUAAAGUUUUACUAAACGAUGGCUAAGUAAAUACUGUGUCUCGAAGAAAAUAGAAGACUAUUGAAAAAAAUCAUUUUUAAAUUUAUGUUAUUUUAUUAAAGUAAUUUGCAAAUUUGACGGAGUA